Molecule: small RNA, 24 nt
Filed under: Arabidopsis thaliana (thale cress)
Lineage: Eukaryota; Viridiplantae; Streptophyta; Magnoliopsida; Brassicales; Brassicaceae
Description: ATSL119400
Source: RNAcentral
AUUUUGUUUCUAAGUUUACCCGGU